Non-coding RNA from Mycena metata, 95 nucleotides. The record is from the annotation of a GenBank genome assembly. NCBI's taxonomy places the organism in Eukaryota, Fungi, Basidiomycota, Agaricomycetes, Agaricales, Mycenaceae.
GGCCUGGUGGUGUAGUGGUAACACAUCCUCCUCAAUUAGUGUGUAAGCAAUGAGAUGUUAUGAGGAAGUACCCUGUUCAAUUUGGAGUCAGGGCA